This 301-nucleotide ribosomal RNA is filed under the name uncultured bacterium. RNAcentral describes it as "partial 16S ribosomal RNA". It matches the Rfam family "Bacterial small subunit ribosomal RNA", at positions 509 to 807 of the family's 1533-position model. The record is from RNAcentral.
CAGUCGCCGCGGUAAUACGAAGGGGGCUAGCGUUGCUCGGAAUGACUGGGCGUAAAGGGCGCGUAGGCGGUUUACGCAGUCAGGUGUGAAAUUCCCGGACUUAACCUGGGGGCUGCACUUGAUACGCGUAGGCUUGAGUUCGGAAGAGGGUCGUGGAAUUCCCAGUGUAGAGGUGAAAUUCGUAGAUAUUGGGAAGAACACCGGUGGCGAAGGCGGCGACCUGGUCCGAUACUGACGCUGAGGCGCGAAAGCGUGGGGAGCAAACAGGAUUAGAUACCCGAGUAGUCCCUGUCUCUUAUAC